RNAcentral lists this ribosomal RNA (762 nucleotides) under uncultured Sordariomycetes. RNAcentral describes it as "SSU rRNA". It matches the Rfam family "Eukaryotic small subunit ribosomal RNA", at positions 804 to 1590 of the family's 1831-position model. The record is from RNAcentral. Lineage: Eukaryota; Fungi; Ascomycota; Sordariomycetes.
UUAGCAUGGAAUAAUAAAAUAGGACGUGUGGUUCUAUUUUGUUGGUUUCUAGGACCGCCGUAAUGAUUAAUAGGGACAGUCGGGGGCAUCAGUAUUCAAUUGUCAGAGGUGAAAUUCUUGGAUUUAUUGAAGACUAACUACUGCGAAAGCAUUUGCCAAGGAUGUUUUCAUUAAUCAGGAACGAAGGUUAGGGGAUCGAAGACGAUCAGAUACCGUCGUAGUCUUAACCAUAAACUAUGCCGACUAGGGAUCGGACGAUGUUAAAAAUUGACUCGUUCGGCACCUUACGAGAAAUCAAAGUGCUUGGGCUCCAGGGGGAGUAUGGUCGCAAGGCUGAAACUUAAAGAAAUUGACGGAAGGGCACCACCAGGGGUGGAGCCUGCGGCUUAAUUUGACUCAACACGGGGAAACUCACCAGGUCCAGACACAAUGAGGAUUGACAGAUUGAGAGCUCUUUCUUGAUUUUGUGGGUGGUGGUGCAUGGCCGUUCUUAGUUGGUGGAGUGAUUUGUCUGCUUAAUUGCGAUAACGAACGAGACCUUAACCUGCUAACUAGCCCGUAUUGCUUUGGCAGUACGCUGGCUUCUUAGAGGGACUAUCGGCUCAAGCCGAUGGAAGUUUGAGGCAAUAACAGGUCUGUGAUGCCCUUAGAUGUUCUGGGCCCCACGCGCGCUACACUGACGGAGCCAGCGAGUACUCCCUUGGCCGAAAGGCCUGGGUAAUCUUGUUAAACUCCGUCGUGCUGGGGAUAGAGCAUUGCAAU